AGACGGAGGGAGCAAGCGUUGCUCGGAAUCACUGGGCGUAAAGGGCGUGUAGGCGGGACAGCAAGUCGGGUGUGAAAGCCCUGGGCUCAACCCAGGAAGGGCAUUCGAUACUACUGUUCUUGAGUAUGACAGAGGAAAGCGGAAUUCCCGGUGUAGCGGUGAAAUGCGUAGAUAUCGGGAAGAACACCUGUGGCGAAGGCGGCUUUCUGGGUCACAACUGACGCUGAGGCGCGAAAGCUAGGGGAGCGAACGGGAUUAGAAACCCCAGUAGUCC
Molecule: ribosomal RNA, 274 nt
Filed under: uncultured bacterium
Lineage: Bacteria
Description: partial 16S ribosomal RNA
Rfam family: Bacterial small subunit ribosomal RNA
Source: RNAcentral